ACGACCUCAACUCAAGCAAGGCUACCCGCUGAACUUAAGCAUAUCAGUAAGCGGAGGAAAAGAAACUAACUAGGAUUU
RNAcentral lists this ribosomal RNA (78 nucleotides) under Steinernema intermedium. RNAcentral's name for it is "partial 28S ribosomal RNA". It matches the Rfam family "Eukaryotic large subunit ribosomal RNA", at positions 1 to 77 of the family's 3401-position model. The record is from RNAcentral. RNAcentral also lists the same sequence under 2 other names. Lineage: Eukaryota; Metazoa; Nematoda; Chromadorea; Rhabditida; Steinernematidae.